GUCCACGCUGUAAACGAUGGGUACUAGGUUUGGUAGGUCUUGACCCCUGCCGAACCGGAGCUAACGCAAUAAGUACCCCGCCUGGGAAGUACGGUCGCAAGACUAAAACUCAAAGGAAUUGACGGGGGCCCGCACAAGCGGUGGAUCAUGUGGUUUAAUUCGAAGCAACGCGAAGAACCUUACCUGGAUUUGACAUCCUCUGACAACCGUAGAGAUACGGCUUCUGUAGCAAUACAGCAGAGAGACAGGUGCUGCAUGGCUGUCGU
This 266-nucleotide ribosomal RNA is filed under the name uncultured bacterium. RNAcentral describes it as "partial 16S ribosomal RNA". It matches the Rfam family "Bacterial small subunit ribosomal RNA", at positions 793 to 1055 of the family's 1533-position model. The record is from RNAcentral.